UACGUAGGGUGCAAGCGUUGUCCGGAAUUAUUGGGCGUAAAGAGCUCGUAGGCGGUCUGUCGCGUCCGCUGUGAAAACUCGGGGCUUAACCCCGGGCCUGCAGUGGGUACGGGCAGACUAGAGUGCGGUAGGGGAGACUGGAAUUCCUGGUGUAGCGGUGAAAUGCGCAGAUAUCAGGAGGAACACCGGUGGCGAAGGCGGGUCUCUGGGCCGUAACUGACGCUGAGGGGCGAAAGCGUGGGGAGCGAACAGG
RNAcentral lists this ribosomal RNA (253 nucleotides) under uncultured bacterium. RNAcentral describes it as "partial 16S ribosomal RNA". It matches the Rfam family "Bacterial small subunit ribosomal RNA", at positions 524 to 776 of the family's 1533-position model. The record is from RNAcentral.